UAGGCUCGCAGAGAAGUACAGCUCCUAAUGCAGUUUCCGCCUCCCAGAGAAGCAGCCUUGCAGACCUGUGAUAUGGAUAUAGAGCAGGUGGCUCACCUCUCUGGUAAUUGAGUUCACAGCUGGUAGCUUUGCCUCAGCAGUCUUCUCACCCAGGAGGGAACAAAGGCCAUCCUCUUCCCCAGCAGUCUUGGUGAUCAUAAGAGUCUUCCAUACUGAGCUGACCGAAGCAGCACUGAAUAGAUUUUUCUUUAUUCUGUUAUUUUCAUACACUGAUGUUGCUACUGCUGUAAUAUAUUUUUAAUAUUUGAACAGAUAUCUUUAUCUCAUCUGUUGAGUUACGUAUGUUUUCUCUAUAGCUCUGACUUAAUUUUGUUCUCAGUGGUGAAAAAAAAUUGGCUUAUGGUAUGUGUGCCUACUCUACCACUACUUUCGAUGUCUCGGGAUGAAUUACCGGCUGUUGAAUUCACAAAAAUAUGAGCACUAAUGAUGUAAUUCAUUUCAGUUACCUAACGUAAUUGAUUUUUUUUUGUUACAUAAGUUCCUCUGUAUUAUUUAUUUCUUUUUUUCCAGGAAACAUACAUUUAUAAAUGUAAUUGUAUGCUUAAAGACAUUAUACAGCAUUGAAGGGCCCAGAGCACAAACAGGAAAUGUGUCAUUUCUUCUUUUUCACUCGUUAACGUCAUUUGUUACCCAACUCUCUGGUGUUAAUCCCGCUCACCCCCGGCUCCUUCUGUUGCCAUGGAUAUGCCAUCCCUAUGGCAACUCAGGGCCUUUGUGGAUGGUCUUGGGUCCUGACGGCGGAGGACUCAUUACACAUUCCCUUCCAGCUCCAAGUCAAAUCAGUCAAAACGGACAAGCUCAUCUGCCUGCUACAGUACAGGCACCUUUGUGAAAAUGUGCCACAGCAUGGUUUCAUAAACAUAUUAUGGGAUCUGAUCAUCAGUCUUAAACACAUCCACAUUAAAGAGACCGAAUGAAGAAGAUGACCUUUUCAUUUCUAAUAUUGAAGAGAUUAAAAACACUGUACUGAAGCAAACCCCUUUAAUGUCCCUGCUGAAUAAGAAUUAGCUGAAUGACAUAGUUGUUUACAAAGAGGAACAGCAUUAGUGUCUGUGCUCAAAUUUUAUUGUACCUUCACUUAGUAGUGAUAAGUAGUUGGGGUUUAAAAGACAAUUAAUAUUCAGUAAUACCAAUUUAAUUGCACUGACGGAAAAAUUUGAAUUUUAUUGAGCUGGAUAAUGACAAACUUUGCAACAUCGAUGUGUUAUUGAACUGAAAUGACAACUGAAUCAACACUGAACUGACUUGAGAUGAAUAAUGAUGCUGUUGCCUUCUGUAGAGCUUCUAAAUUGAAGUUGUUUUGUAAUUGUGAACCAACACAC
Molecule: long non-coding RNA, 1382 nt
Organism: Cyprinus carpio carpio
Lineage: Eukaryota; Metazoa; Chordata; Actinopteri; Cypriniformes; Cyprinidae
Source: Ensembl